CGAAGUAUAGCUUAAUGUAAAGCACCUUGCCUACACCAAGAUGAUGUUCAAUCACACAAACUAUUUCGUG
RNAcentral lists this transfer RNA (70 nucleotides) under Craugastor crassidigitus (slim-fingered rain frog). RNAcentral's name for it is "tRNA-Val". The record is from RNAcentral. Lineage: Eukaryota; Metazoa; Chordata; Amphibia; Anura; Craugastoridae.